GGAGAAACAUAAUAUUUACAAGUUUAUUAUACCAUAAAGUCUUAAUAAUACAUAGUUACUCACUUCCCCCUAGUUUUAGAGGAGGAUAAUAACAAUAAUCAUAAUAAUGUCGUUAAGCUAUUAAUUAACAUCUAGCUCUAAAACAAGUAUUCAACCAUGGACACACCGGAGGAAGUAGACCAUGGUACUUGAAUAACAACCAUGCACUUCUCAUACUCAAAUUCAACUUCUCUUCCAUCAAUUCUGCAAUUUCUUGGCUUCUCUGAAGCAAACACCCUCAUUUCUCCGGCACCCUUUACCCCGAUUCGGAAGGAUCCAUCGGUGUCAUUGGAGGCCAUGGACUGGAUUGCACCGCCAGUGUUGAGCAUGUUUACCAGGCCAAUGGGUGCAAAUUGAACUGAUUUUCCUUCUGGGAUUAUAACUGGAGAGACAGUGACAAGUUCAAAAUUGAAUGGCUCUAGUGAUAUUUCAAUCUUGUCAUGUGGCUUGGAGAGGAGAAGCUUCUUGGUUUGGGACAAGUACAUGGCAAAUACUUGAACUCCUUCAAUAGAGAUUGGGUUCUUGCCACUGUUCCAUUCGAUGUCUUUAGCAUUGGUUUUGGUAGUCACCAGGUGAGAAAAUUGGGAGGCACAUUUGUUUCUUCUUGUCUCCCUACACCAACCCCCUCCUUGGCAGUUGAAUACUCCAAUAACUCCUGUAAACUUGUUGAGGUUCCAAAUUUUGAGCAUGGUCUUGCCAUCAUGGAGAGGGUCCUGGAAAAGGCAAUCUCUAGUCGGAAGAGCAUAGUACUGGCACCGGAGAAUUGAACCGUCAGGCAAAACAAGACGUUUAAGCAAUGAAAAGUUGUGCUUUCCAACUGAGUCACUAACGUAAAUAGGGCCACCAGAAAUUGCCCUAGAAGCAGCAUGGAACUCAGCACAAGGAUGAGUAGACUGAAACAUAUCCCAGUCUGGGUGUAUAAAAUUGCCCAUCCACAAGCUAUUAUAAGCACAAUGCACCAUGUGACAACCUUGAAGCCAAAAUGUACCAUUUGGAUCCCCAGAUGGAUCAGUGCACCAAAAAUCAUCACCAACACGACCAAGAGAUAUGGCCUCAGUUCCAAGGAACAUGAAAUCGUUGCAGUGUUCCAUGCUAGCAAUCACUCCAUUCCCAUUAAAAUGUUUCCUCACUGAAGCUGUUAAUGCCUUGUAAUAUGCCUUUGCCAGAUCCACUCUCCCUCCAUAGUUCUCACACACCAUUUCCAACAAGUGAAUAACGUCCACUUUGACGCCGUCAAUCCCGACCUUCUUCAAGUGCGAGUGAAGACCCUCGUACAUGUCAUCAACUUUCUCCGGCCGGACCAACCCCACGCCAGUGUUCACGAUCUUGUCCACCGCCAGGUCCUCCAUCGUCAACUUCAAUCCCGGUGACAGUUUUGGCUUUUCCACUACCGUUUCUGGGAGUCCGGGGACAUUUGGCCUCAGACCACCCCAGUACCCACAUAGUGCAUGCCACACGUAGACAUAGUCAACAGUGUUGAAUUCAUCCUUCAGGUCCUUGAUAAAGGCACCCAUGCCCUUGUUAGUGGAACCGGUGGCCAAGCUUUUAGGACUCACGUAGUCCCUGAAUUUGUAAUUCUCUUGAAAUUUCAAUAGCCUGCAUGGCAUUUGCUCGCCGGCGACCGUGUGAUUCAUGCCUUCUUUGGUGAUUGGGUCCUCAUCGUGGCUGAUGGAUUGCCACCCAUCAUCUAUUAAGAUGAAACCUGGUGGGCAUCCACCUUCGACGAUACCCUUAACACCUUCCCAAACACCUUGAGGGUGUACGGUAAGAUAGAAUGCAUCCCACGUGCACCACCCAAACUUGUCUACUAUUCCUGGAGGAGUCUUCUCCUCUAACAGCUUGAAGGUACCCAAAUGAAGUCUAACCACCUUCGUCGCCUCCUUGACCAAGUUGAACGGAUCGUCGCCAACAUGAACGUAAAGAAUGCUCCGGAAUCCUGUGGCGGAGACUUUGGUGGAGCCACUUUCGACGCAAAUAUCGAUAUUGUCGUCAUCGCCUGGCUGGAGAGACGCCCGGAAUGGACCUUCAAGAAGAGGAAGAAGGAGAACAUAGGGUCGACCAGAAUUGGAUUUAUCAAGAAUUACCAUCUGGGUUUCGUUUUCAAGGUCAUUGCCAUUGGAUCCAACCCAGUGGGUAGUCCACCAGACCUUGAACCUGAAAAUGCUCAUGAACCGUAUGUUCUUGAGUUUCCCAAUGGGGAAAACAUGACCGUCUUUGGCUUCCAUGGAGUCGAAUCCAAUGAAGGAUCCGACGGCGGAUAAAGAUUUGUCUGUGAGGCUGUAUGGAGAGGGAGUGACUGUGAUAUUCUCAGGGAUGUCGGAGAGAAAGACAUGACCAUUGGCAGUGAAAUUUGAUCCUUCAAGAGAGAUGCCAGACUGGUUAUAGGUCUCAAUGAGCCCUGCAACACUUGAACUAGCUUUGCUUAAGCUAGGAGCCAUUGUUGCACACAGAAAGAAAAGAAAACAAGAACGCAAGAACACAAGAUAGGUAAAAAAAAAAAAGAAAAAAUGGAAAUCGAAACGAAAAAGAGAUUCUGUGUAGAUUGUGUUUGGUUGAUUCUUGAUCGUUUGUUUUAAUGGUCUAUUGAACUUGCCUUUUGUUUUGCUCUACACCAACUGGUAAGUGCCCCUUACUUACAGGCCAACCCUGCCAUGGAAAGUCUGAGAGGACAGAGGAGGAAGAUCGAGUGAAGAGUUUUUGACCGUCCAGUUGUACUUUAGAGUUAAGUUUAUCAGAAAAGGGUGUGAAUUAAGGAAAUUACAGAAGAGGGUUGAGUGGCAAGUCAGCUAUCAGAAAACCCUAAUCAAAACAGCGUUUUUAAACAAAAAGUUCAAAGAAAACACUAAUAGUCAUAAUGGCGUUUGCGUCUCCACCUUGGCACCCGAAAGCGGCGGCAUUGUCCACACCGAAAACGCCAUUUAUAAUGGCGUCCCACCUUACAGCAUUGUCCCCGAAAACGCCAUUUAUAAUGGCAUCCCACCCCAA
This 3024-nucleotide unclassified non-coding RNA is filed under the name Hevea brasiliensis (rubber tree). The record is from RNAcentral. Lineage: Eukaryota; Viridiplantae; Streptophyta; Magnoliopsida; Malpighiales; Euphorbiaceae.